CCAGCUCAGCCCUAUUGUCUUCAGUGUGGGAGUUACCAUUCCGGUAUAUGUUUCAAGGCUACUGGUGCAUGUUUUGGUUGUGGUCAAUCUGGUCAUCUUAGGAGGGAUUGUCCAAAUCCUAGAGGAGGCUUUGCUCCAGGUAUUGCACGUCCUACAAUACCAAUGCCAUCAUCUUCAGCUAUGUCUAUUGGAAAUUCUUCUGGUCCUAGUGCUAGAGGAGCAGGUGGCAGGGGUCAGACUUAUAACAGAGGAGGGAGCCAAAGAGGAAGAGGUCAGGCACGUGUGUAUGCUUUAACACGUCAAGAUGCUCAAGCUUCUCAUGCUGUGGUGGCAGAUACAGGAGUCAUUCCAGGUUCCAUUCCACCUGCCCCUCAGUAGAUCUUAGUCAUUUUGGUGAGCCCUUCUUCUUUCCAAGGGCUAAGUAAUUAUGUAAUGGAACCUUUGCUCAAAAUCUAGAUUAUGUCAAUGCUCCAUAUGUCACAGGCAGGAUCC
Non-coding RNA from Arachis ipaensis, 492 nucleotides. Lineage: Eukaryota; Viridiplantae; Streptophyta; Magnoliopsida; Fabales; Fabaceae. The record is from RefSeq and is a predicted model, not a curated record.